Molecule: ribosomal RNA, 465 nt
Filed under: Vreelandella stevensii
Lineage: Bacteria; Pseudomonadati; Pseudomonadota; Gammaproteobacteria; Oceanospirillales; Halomonadaceae
Description: partial 16S ribosomal RNA
Rfam family: Bacterial small subunit ribosomal RNA
Source: RNAcentral
CCUACGGGGGGCAGCAGUGGGGAAUAUUGGACAAUGGGCGAAAGCCUGAUCCAGCCAUGCCGCGUGUGUGAAGAAGGCCUUCGGGUUGUAAAGCACUUUCAGUGGGGAAGAAAGCCUUGGGGCUAAUACCCUCGAGGAAGGACAUCACCCACAGAAGAAGCACCGGCUAACUCCGUGCCAGCAGCCGCGGUAAUACGGAGGGUGUGAGCGUUAAUCGGAAUUACUGGGCGUAAAGCGCGCGUAGGCGGUCUGAUAAGCCGGUUGUGAAAGCCCCGGGCUCAACCUGGGAACGGCAUCCGGAACUGUCAGGCUAGAGUGCAGGAGAGGAAGGUAGAAUUCCCGGUGUAGCGGUGAAAUGCGUAGAGAUCGGGAGGAAUACCAGUGGCGAAGGCGGCCUUCUGGACUGACACUGACGCUGAGGUGCGAAAGCGUGGGUAGCAAACAGGAUUAGAUACCCUGGUAGUC